This 83-nucleotide non-coding RNA is filed under the name Candidatus Burkholderia verschuerenii. Its description in RNAcentral is "Burkholderia sRNA 16 (Bc_KC_sr1)". It matches the Rfam family "Burkholderia sRNA 16 (Bc_KC_sr1)". Rfam says of the family: Identified by RNA-seq, RACE and Northern blot. The record is from Rfam by way of RNAcentral. Lineage: Bacteria; Pseudomonadati; Pseudomonadota; Betaproteobacteria; Burkholderiales; Burkholderiaceae.
GUAGGCGCGCGGCGACGCCGCGGCCUGCCAUUCUCCUCUUGUCGUUGUUGCUCCGGGGCUUAAUUGAGCCCCGGUUUUUUUUU